This is a long non-coding RNA of Nasonia vitripennis (jewel wasp), 1368 nucleotides long. RefSeq lists it as uncharacterized. The transcript has 2 exons. The record is from RefSeq and is a predicted model, not a curated record. Lineage: Eukaryota; Metazoa; Arthropoda; Insecta; Hymenoptera; Pteromalidae.
AGUCUCGGAUGUGCGCUCAGUCGUGUCUUAGGAUUGCGCCUGUAGUAAAAGUUGAACUCAGUCGAGAUAUUGCGCCUGGGGCUGGUUUGCUUCCAGCAGUGGUCGCGCUGCCACGGACUCGACUGGAUCGACGAAUUAUCGUCCGAUACUGAAACAUAUUUCAAUAAUUCAAUUAAAUUGAGUAAAACAGUGUAUCCUUAUCGCCGAUGACGUUUGAAAAGCCUCUAUUGCUGAUCUCUCAAAUUGCAUGAAAUUCGAAGAAGAAAAAUAUCGACUAACCACUGAGGGAGGCCGAGCUCUCCUGUCUGCUGGGCGUGACAUUGGCCGGUGGCCAGAAGGUCUUCUUGGGUACGGGGAACCAGGUGGUCCUCUCGCCGUCCCUACGAUGCGACAGCUCCAAAAUGAACUUGCCAUCCUUGAAAAACUUCAGUCUACCCCCGGGAGUGGGUAGAUGAUUGUUCGAGUUACCGGGUGCAGCGUUACUCGCGCCGUUGCUGGCGUCGUCCUCGUGGCCGCUGGGCGUCGAGGCAGGCGAUGCCACGAGGCUGCUGGGCCUCGGCGACGACUGCGAGUGAUGCGCUGCGUGGUUAUGAUGCUGUUGCUGCUGAACGGGUGGACUGGUCGGGUUCUUGCCGUUGGCCUUGCUGCUGCCGAGGGCCGGGUGAUGAUGCUGGAGCACUGCCGGCGGCGGCUCGCGGGAGCACAUCUCUGUCAUCGCCCUCACGUGACUCGCCUGGGUAUGACAUUCCGAAGACUUCUCGCGCAUGCUGCCGUUACCUGCUCGCGAGCCAUUCUCUGCCCUUCAACCUGUGGAGAAAAAAUUUUCGGCUGGAUUAGUCGAAAUCGUUGUCGAUCGUAAUUGACAGUGAUGCUGAUUGACUGAGUAUCGUCGCGUUUUAUUUCGAUAUUUUUGAUUUUUUUUAUCUGUGCUCCUGAUAUACUUGAGAUAUGAAAUAUCUUUGGAAGUACAUUCAAAUUUAUAAAACUGAUAACUAAACGAUUUGCAUUGUUAUAAACGUUACGAAACUAAUUUUAAGCUCUUUCUCAUAACACGUUGAGCUUUACUGCUGUUUAAAACAUCUUGCUAGGUACUUGGGAAUCACAUAAUUGUUAUAAACAAUUACUGAAUGCGUUACUAUCUAUUCUUGUUUAUGACAUCUGCUGUACACGCAAGCAUUUGUUUCUUUCUUUUUAUACUUGGAUAUAUUAAUUGAGCACUUAGCAGUGUACUAUAAAGGACUUUAAAUGGUAUCUGAAGAAAUGAACAAUUAUGCAAAUUCAUUCAAGUUUAGUUUUACAAGCAAAUGUAUUAUCAUAAAGUGGUUUUAUUCCAAUUUACAAUGCAAUAAAGGUUUGAUCCAUGAAAAA